This 253-nucleotide ribosomal RNA is filed under the name uncultured bacterium. RNAcentral describes it as "partial 16S ribosomal RNA". It matches the Rfam family "Bacterial small subunit ribosomal RNA", at positions 524 to 776 of the family's 1533-position model. The record is from RNAcentral.
UACGGAGGGUGCAAGCGUUGUUCGGAAUCACUGGGCGUAAAGGGCGUGUAGGCGGUCCGCUAAGUCUGAUGUGAAAGCCCGGGGCUCACCCCCGGAAGGGCAUUGGAAACUGGCGGACUCGAGUCCCGGAGAGGAAGGUGGAAUUCCUGGUGUAGCGGUGAAAUGCGUAGAUAUCAGGAGGAACACCAGUGGCGAAGGCGGUGCUCUGGGCCGGAACUGACGCUGAGGAGCGAAAGCGUGGGGAGCAAACAGG